AAUUAUAUUUAAAACGCUUAUUAAAAAAAGAAUAAAAAGUCGUCCGAUGAUUUUGAAAAUUUUACCACGUCUGGGUUAAUCCAAUAUAAAUAUUAUCACCAAACUCCAAGUCCCUACGUAUAUUUAUAACCGAAUUACAGCGAAAAAACUCCCAAAAAUGUAACAUUUUUAAAAGCUCAAAAGUGGCUCAAAAGUUUUAGCAAUGAUAGCGUAGGAAAGUAAAUCAAGAAGGCAACAAAAAAAAAUGUCCUUUGAUGAAAUCAUUUUUUCCGCUAGAAAACGUCGUCCGUGUUUUAAUGAAAUCGUGAAAUUGUACGUUCUCCUACGUUUUUUCCCACUUGAAUGCUUAUAUUUAAAAAAUGGCGUUGAAAAUCAAAAAAAUAACCUCCUUAAAAUAU
Non-coding RNA from Cinara cedri, 398 nucleotides. NCBI's taxonomy places the organism in Eukaryota, Metazoa, Arthropoda, Insecta, Hemiptera, Aphididae. The record is from the annotation of a GenBank genome assembly.